CGGCCGGUCGCCACACGCCGGCAGCCUCCGGCUGGGCUCGGCACGGCGCGGCGAGGGGCUCCCUCCUGCCCCGCCGAGCCACCCCGGGGCGCGGGGCCUGCCGCCGCCUCCCCCGGGCCGUCGAGGCCAUGGCGGCCAUCCAGAACCUGCAGCUGUGGUGCAAGCAGCAGUGUGAGGGCUACCGCGAUGUCAGCAUCACCAACAUGACCACCUCCUUCCGCGACGGCCUCGCCUUCUGCGCCAUCCUCCACCGCCACCGGCCCGACCUCAUAAACUUCAACUCCCUCAGUAAAGAAAAUGUGUAUGAGAAUAACAAGUUGGCAUUUCGAGUGGCAGAGGAGGAGCUGGGGAUCCCAGCCUUGCUGGAUGCAGAGGAUAUGGUUGCUCUGAGAGUACCAGACAGACUGAGCAUCCUCACCUAUGUUUCUCAGUAUUAUAACUACUUCCAUGGACGGUCUCCUAUUGGAGGCAUGGCUGGAAUCAAGCGUCCUUCCUCUGAACCUCAGGAGCAGCCUCUUGGGAAGAAAGCUGUUUCAGAGCCUCCUAAGCCAGUGCCGCCAAAACUGCCUCCUGCCCACCCGCCAGCCAGAGCUAAGCCAAAAGAAACCUCCCCAGUCACCAUGAAAGGAGUCCUGGCGGAGAGUGGGAAUAUCCCUAGCAGCAGCUGUGGGAUCUGCGGGAACCAUGUGCACCUGGUGCAGCGGUACUUGGUUGAUGGGAAGCUCUAUCACAGGAACUGCUUCAGGUGCAGGCAGUGUUGGAACGUGCUUCUUCCUGGAAGCUACAAAGCUGGGCCUGAGCCCGGUACGUUCAUCUGUACCAGCCACCAGCAAUCAGACGGUGUCCAGAUCUCUGGUCUCCGCAGCACCGGGAACAAACCUGAGAGUACCCCAGCCCCUACUGCUGCCAGGGCAUUCCAGAAAGCAGCAGAACCCAAGAAACUGGAACAGGUGUUGAAGAAACCCAGCCAGGAAGGCCUUGCUAAUUCAACCAAGCCAUCUGUUUCAUCUUCUGGAAGCUCUGGCUUCAAAAGUGUAAAUACUCCAUGGUCCUCUUCAGCUGUAAAUAAAUCAGAUGACUGCAAAGGUACCCCAUUGGGAAAUAAAGCAGAUCACCGUGAAGGUACUCCAUCAGGGCUUCUUUGGACAACCUCCACAACAAAAACACAGCAAGCCCGAGAAAAUUUUUUUCGGUCAUUAGAGUCCUCCAACAAUAAAACCUCUGACACUAAAAAACAAGUCCCUUCUUCUCAUGGCCUGGGUAAGACUGCCUCUGCCAGAACCACUACUGAGGUCAGUCCAGUGAAUGCUGAGAAGGAUCAGGCACGUAACCAUAUUAUACAGGCUCUGGCUGGAUCAAACACCUCUCCAAACAGGCUAGGAGGACUCAAUUCCACUGGCUCCUCAGUGUCCAGCAGUGGCAAGUUUUCUCCCACCAGUUCUCAGUGGCAGAGUCCAGCUGCAAAAGCACAGUCCAGCAAAACAGGGUACACGGCACUAAAACAGGAAAAGAUUACAGACCCUCUGCCCAAGAGCCAGGCUGCCAGCAAACCUGUUGACUCUGUGCGCAAGCCAGAGUCGAAAGGCAUCAAAGGGUUUUCUGAGUUGCGGGGCUCCACACACCUCCAUUUGUUCAUGUGCAAUGGAAGCACGAGUGUUGGUGAAGACAAGUCUGAGAGCCCAGCAGAGUGGAGAUCUCGGUUGAAGCCUGUAGCCAGCAAAGACCAAGGUGGCUCUAAGAAAUCUACUGAUAACUCCCAGGUGGGAACAGGGAGCCCAGCACACAAGGAGACAAAGCCAAGUCCAUUAGUUGUCCCAUCAGCAAAGCAGGACUCUGCUUCAUCUGGUGGAUUCAUGAAGAAGUUGUUGAUCCCCAGCUCAGAUCUUAUCAGGAGCUGUCAGAAUUCAAAGCAAGGCUGGGAAGACCCUAGGGGCUCUGCCAAGAAGGAGGAGGAGGGCAACCAGUUGAAGAAAAGCACUACCACAUUUAAACCCUCUGUUCCGGAAAGCACCCAGAGCCCUGCAGUGGUGUCCCCAACCAAGCUGCACCCAGACUACCUCCCGGAGGAGGAAAUCCAGGAGAAGGUGCGUGACAUCGAGAAGCAGCUGGAUGAGCUGGAAUUGAAAGGAGUGGAUCUGGAGAAGCAGCUGCGUGGCUGCGAGGGAGAUGAAUCUGAGGAUGCCCUCAUGGUGGAUUGGUUCAAACUGAUCCAUGAGAAACAGCUGCUGCUCAGACAGGAAUCGGAGCUGAUGUACAAGAUGAAACAGCAGAAGCUGGAGGAGCAGCAGUGGAACAUUGAGACAGAGCUGCGACACCUCAUGAGCAAGCCAGAGGAACUGAAGACACCCAGGGAGAAGGAACGAGAGAAGGAGCUGCUGGAGUCGUACCUGAACACAGUCAAUGAUCGGAAUAAUAUUGUGGAGUGCCUGGAUGAGGACAGACUCAGAGAGCAAGAGGAGGACCAGAUGUUGGCAGACAUGAUCCAGAGGUUGGAUGGAUCUCUCGAGAGCCAGGAGCCAGAGAAGAAGAAGAACAAGUUCCGCUUGUCCAAAAUAUGGAAGCAGAAAAAUAAGAGUAAAGCUCAGGAGUGAUGUUCCCCUGCCCAGCAGCCCAGAGAGGGGUGUCAAAGGGAUGUUCCUUCCUCACUGCUGCUUUCCUGGAGUUGUGCAGAACUGUGAUGAGACUCUACUGCUCCCUCACAUGGAGACUGCAGUUCUGAGUAAACAAGGGGAAUUCUCCAAAUUAUUCGCCAUGAGCACAAAGGGAAAUUGGCUUUCAUCGUCUCGCUCUUCAUCCAAGGAAGAAACUGAUCCACAGUAGGCACAGGGAGGAAGCGAGCAUCGUGGCUGCCCUCGGAUGCCUCGAGUCGACUUGAGACGGAGCAGCAACCCAUCCAUUUUAUCCAGCUGACUGAGAGGCCAGCACUGCCUGCAGCUUUUUGUCCCUACUGCUGAGCCACAUGGCCAGGGCUCAUUGCAGUUGGGACUGUAAAUGCAAAGUGCCUAUUGCCUAUGAGAGCAUUGGGUGCCGCUUUUGACUGUUCACCUCCCGUUUCCAGCUGGAUGAAUCUGUACCCAAGCUGCUCAGGAGAUAGGACAGAUCAAGAGCAUCCUCAAGGCUUUGUCUCAGCAUGAAGGUGACACCCUGGUCCUUGGCUGUUGGGCUGAAGGGUAAUGCCCAAGGCCAGUGUGGGGUUGGGAAGGGAAGGAUGGAGCACUGAUAUGGAGGGACGUGGGGCCUGGGGAGCUAGGUUUGGUCCAAAGCAAGAACUCAGAGGGAUGCUGGUGUGCUCUGUGAGAGCAGCAAAUGUGCCUGGCAGCUGGGGUGGGAGGAGGUGGCUGGAGAGGACCUCUUUGCUGGGAGUCCAUGGGAGGUCAUUUCAGCCUAGUGCAGAGCUUGAGGGAAAGGGGCUUCAUUAGAGGGGUGGCCCGUGGAGCUCAGACGAGGCAGCUGUGCCCGUUGGGGCACCCACACCCCUCCCCACCGCAUGCACCAUGCUGAGAGCCCCCUCACCCAUGCUCCGGCACAGUGGCAAAGCGUCUGUGGCAGCAACCAAGGGAGCGAAGGUUAUUUAUAUUCAUGUUGCAGCUCUGCCAGCCGUGACUCUGUUAUCUGCCAUGCAUGAAUAUUAUUUGAAUACAGAGUUUGUCGUGACUAUUCUUCCGCGUGAAACGAGGGAUUUGCUGUGGGAUGGGAACCCUCCCUCUGGCUGUCAGUCAGGAAGGGUUUCCUUUUCCUGUCUCGUUGGAAGCCACGUCCCCAGCAAGGUGAGACAGUGGACACUUUUUCUCUUGUUAAUAUCCAUGUCUAAUCUCCUCUCAGAGGGGCCCUUUGUCCUAGACUGUAGCCAAGAUGAGUAAUUCAGGGAUAGAUGAGACGCUAUAAUUGGUUUGUGACAAAUUAAAACAUUUUUCCUUCGGAGCUGAGAGCAGGACUGUGGUCUGGAGCUGUCAAGCGUCACAGGGGAGGGCGAUUUUCAGAAUAAGCGCAUUGCAAAUUGGCUCCAGAUACGCCUUGGAGUCUGAAAUUAAACUCCAGCUGGUGACUCUUCUUGGUUGGGGUUUUAUUUUAGGAGGGCACAAAGGGAACAUGUGUGGGGAGGAAGAACCUGAUCGAUAAAGAGAACGUGACUUUUUUUUGCAUCGUGCAAUGAGCUGGGGACUGGAGCGAGCCAUGGUGGAGAUGCUGGGGAGCACCCAGAGGUGUGAUGGGAGUGAGAGGCCCAAGAGCUGGAGCCCACCAUUGCCUGUCUUUCCUCCAUGCUGCUCUCAGUGGUUCCUCCAUCACAUCCCAGCAAGGAAGGACCAUGAUAGGAAGUUGUAGCUCACACCAUUUCUUCCCCUUGGUCAUGAGUGGGUGCCAGGUACAGAACCUCCUCAGGAGCUGCAGGCUGGUCCUUGCCCUGUAAUAUUUCUUUUCCUGGGCUAAGGAGAUUCCCUCACCUCCACUUGGAGAGCAGGGGACCAGCUAAAAGGAACACAGAGAUGAUCAGGACAGACAGUUUGAUGAAGUACUUGGUUCGACCCCAAGGCGUUUAUGAGGGGGUUUUGGGCAAAGGGAUGGAGGUGGGAGGAAAACGACUUCCUGAUGCAACUGCUCAGCGUUGUUUAACGGGGAGUGCUACAGCAGCAGCAUCUCCACCUUGCGAUGGAGAUGGAUGGAGAAUGAAGGAGUGCAUGAACAGCAGGCCUGGGAAGGACAUGGGUCUGUAAAGGGAAUUUAAAAGAGGCAAGAGGAGUCGCCAUGUGGGCUGGUUUGUGUGUAAAAGGCGGUGGGGAAGGAAGCUCUGACAUGAGAAGAGUGGACAAAGUCCAGAGGACAGGGGUGUUGGGGCUGGACCUCGCCACAGACAGGUUCAAUAUGGGAAUGGGUCAGAUGAGUGGAAACGAGGCCUUGAAUUGUUUACCUCAAGAUUUUGUAUCUGAUACUGAAGAAAAAGAGGCCCAACGAAGGGGUGCCAUGAGUUUUCUGGGAGGGCUGUAUCUCAAAGUGAAGGAGGUGAUCUGGAAGGGAAACUUGUAGGUAUCCAAACAGGGAAGGCACAAAGGCUGUCAGGGAGUUGGAAGAGUUCAGACCCUGGAGGUGUUGGGUGAGGAAAGGAGGAGGAGAUCUGGGCAUCUCCUCGAUAUGAAGAGUAUAACUAGCAGCCCAGGGUGGCAGGGUGAUGGUGAUGGGGAGAUGAAGGCCUUGGAAGGAAAGAUCACAGGAUCUGGUUUAGCAAUGGAAAAGUGCAUAGAUGCAGCAAAUCCUGAAAGGCAGGAUCAGAUGGUGAGCUGUGACUGGUGUCACUGGCAUUAAGACGUUAGCUAAUCCGGUUUAAGGGGAUAAGCCCAAGGAAAACUGUGGAGACCUAAAUUGGAGCUUGUCACUCUCCUGUGGAAAGCAGAAGUGUGGAGGAGGAGGAUUUGCUGAACGAGCCCCUGGAUGGUUGGUCAGAAACAGAGGAGGGCUGGAGGAGGGCUGUGAAGAUGAAGGGUCAGGAGGUAUCGGAGGGGAAGGAAUGACAGGGGCCACCGAAAGCUGCACGGGGUAGAGAAACCAUUCACUGUGGCAAGGAGAGGCCAUGGGACAGCCUUUGUGAGGGGUGGCCAGGGCAGGAGAUGAUCUAGGGGGCGUGGGAGGGGAAUGGGUGGGAGAAAUCAGGAAAAACCUGCUGAGAGGGUGAUGCCUGUGACAGUGCGGUGAAGGAUGUGCCAUAUUUUGGAAUUCACGCACAAUUUUACCGUCUUUUCUUACUGUAAGUGUGAUGCUGUUGUUGUGAUAGAAUAGCAAAAGGAUAGAUCAAGUUCACUUGUCUUGCUGAUAAGGAUAAAAGCAAUACUUAGCUGCCCACUUUUUAUCAAUAUUGCUGGACAUAUUUCAAAAAAGGAGACAGGGGAGACACUGAGAGUUUGUAACUGGAAUUACAAGUUCUGGAAGAAAUCAGUGGUCUAGUUUUAGGCCAUGUAUGAACUUCACUUGUUACAGUUUGUCCGGGAGCCUUCUGGGCUGCACAAUCUCUCCUUUGAUAGCUGACCUAUAGCCCAUCCUACUGGUGGAACUGGUAAGGUAGCAGCGAAUCUAUAGAAACGCGGUGAUCAUGGUCUGGGAAGCUUAUAUGAUGCAUAUCAAAGCCAGUAUGUGAAUUGCGUAAGUGUGAUGUAGGUCUGACACUAAAGUGAUAAGAGUCAUAUCAAGGGAAUAACUUAAUUAACUGGUCUUGAUCAAAGAACUAUAUAAAUUCAAUAGCCCAGUUUUCAGCGCUAAAUGACGAAGUUUAGAAAAACUGUACUUGACGCAAUUAUCAAUUUUGCUGUCCGAGGAGCUUUGAAGUGGCAUUAAGAAGGGACAGUCUGUUGUUCCAUUUAGGACAAUUUUCUCCCUUCCUCAAGUGAUCAGGAGGCAGAGGGGCUCCCUCUCCUUUUCAAGUGCUCAUUUGAAAUGUCUGAAGCGUAAUAAACACUGGAUGCCGACGGGAACGGUAUCUCAGCUUUCACAAGUUAAUUUUUUCAGACAGUGUAAAUCAGGAACAAAGAACUGUCCUCUCCCUGCCAGACAGAAAAAAAUGUCUUAAUUUCCUUCUAGCUUUCAUUUUGCCCAGGAUUUUGGAGGGGAAGUGGUCCCGUUUAACUUCUGACAGUCCUGGACCUUUUGGUCCCUCUGGCACGUCUGCCUGGCUGCGUGCUGUUCAAACAAGAUGCUGGGAAUGAGAGCAAGGAAGGCGUUAGGCCAUAGAAAGGCUUCUAGAAAUCUUUAAAAUACCAAGUGCCAUGUGUGUUUAUCCAAUUUGGAUGUGUCUAUGUGUACCACAGUGUUUGGUGUCUGUCCCACAAGUUGGAUUUCUGUGCUGAAUGACUCUUUGGGCCAAAGGGACUGGGGAGUUUCUGGUCAGCCUGAUCCACGGUGGACCAGACUUGGACAUUUUGUCCACCUGAGCUUUUUCUUCUUGAUGGGUCCCUCAGCUGCCAACUCAAACGGAGUUGGGUUUGCACCUUGAUUAACCUGAUAAAGCAUUGAUAUAGUCUCAGGAGGAUACACACAGAGGCAGCCCACCACAACUCACUCAAACUGAAGGAGGAGGAUUUGCCCCUGCUACAGGACUGAUGCACCCGAAUCUGGCUGCAAGGAGGGAGGAUGUGCAGGUGCUCUGCAGAAUGAGAACAUCCCGAUCCCUCACUUUGAAUUCACUCAUACCCAGUGAUAAAGUCAGUGCAGAACCGCUGAGUCAGACAAAAAAAGAUGUCCUCUGCCAAAGGGGCAUCAACCAAUGCCACGGGUCAAGUGACAAACAAUCCUGGAACGCAGAGUUAUAUUGAGUCCGACGUUUCUUUAUUUUGUCAAUGUUUGUAAAACAAAAAAACAAACUGAUUUUUAAAAAUGAGAAAUCAAAUGCUGAAAGAUCAUGAGGAAUAAUAGUGAAAGACCUGUUCAGCAGAGGGGUAGGGUUUUAAUGGAUUUCUGAGCAAAAUCUGGCCUGUGUAUUUGGUCCAGGACUACAAAUGGUGUCCUGGUUAGUCGGUGAGAUGUUUGGCUGAUGAAAUCCAUCUCAUUAUGGAAGCUGAGGUUUAACCUUCUGCACAGCUUUGCAGCUAUUUUAAGGGAGAUGGGGAUGCGGGCAGCCCUGAACUGCACCCUGCAUCAUUGCCUGUGCCCUCCUCCAUUUGCUGAUGCCUUCUCUACCCUCCAUGUCCAGCUGGUGUCCUGGAGACUCACCCUUCUGCUUAGGUAGAGUCAGUGCAGGAGAUGGUUCCUUUCUCCACUGUUACCUGGGCAGACUUCAACCAGGUCUUCCAGAGAGGCAGGCCAAUGCGUUUGGAUACACCUCCUGGAAAAGGAUACCUCAACCUUGUUCAUCCAUCAGUGACAGUGAUGGGAGAGAAGUCCUACUGCUUCCAGCUGCUGCUACCUAUGGACAAGCUUCCCUACUCUUCUCCAUCCCCUGGGAACUGUGUCCUUUCCACUGGUGAGUACCUCAUUCCCAAGGCAGGGAGAACUGGGGAUGUGUUGCGUCUGCCAGGUAAGGUGUGAGGCUGCUGCAAAAAGCUGAGAAGCCUGAGAAAGGCCCUUGGGAAGUCGAGGAUUAAUUCAAUUUCCUUACGGCUCCAGGACUUCCCGCCGCAGAACACAGAUGGACUUUGGUUUGGUCCCUGAAAUGAGGUGGUUCCUCCUCCUGGGCAGAAAGAGGGAAUGAUUUCCAAAGGCAGCAAGCCAAGGGUCCACUUGCUUGGGUCUUCCCUAGAAUAGGACUGAGCGAUGGAGGUGGGACAAUUGGCUCUGGAGCCACAGCGCUGUUUUUUCUCCAGGAGAUGGAAGGAAGCUGGGUGCUGGUAGCCGGGAGGCAAAGCUGCAGCUGGCCACACCGGCUCUGAACAGCGAGGGCAAUUAGAGAUCAGAAGAGCUGGGGUGGCUUCGUCACAUUUCCCUGCUGCCGUUCUGGAGGUGAUAAUAUAAUUCAUAUCAGAAGAGUUAGUGGGCUGAAAAUGAAUUGGAGAAAUCAAUCCAGAGGGUAUAAAUGAAUUAGCAUGUAAAUGAGGACACUUGCUCUACAUAGUUUAAUAUUGCCUGCAGCUGUAAAUAAUUCCAGGGAUGGAAUCAAAAGCCGCAAACAACUUCAUUUUUGUGCUCCUCCCCCGUCCGGGAGCACCUUGCAGCUACGACCAACCCACCCUUGCAGAAUCAUCGCGUUGCAAGGGAAUUAAAAGAGAUGAGAUGUAUACACCUUUUUUUUUUUUCCCCCCUUGAUUGGCCAUUAUUUACAAGGCUGCUGCUCCUGGUUUCGUGCAGCAAGUCGCUGUUUGUGCAUGCACAUGGCAGCCAGAGCGGCAGGGAAGGGGGGGGUGGGUACCAGCUUGCGUAUCACGAGCUAUCCCGGUCACCCCGUGGUGGGUCGACGUGUGUGUGAAAUAGCAAUUUCUCACCAAGACCUGCAGCAUAAAAGGCCUUGGUUGGGGUGGCGGAGUUACCUCUCCUGGGGUGUCUAAGGGUGGGAGAGGUGGGUGCCUGGAGAGCAGGAGCCAGCCAGGGGGAGCGGCUGCUUGAAUAAAAGGGUGCUUGGAGCUAUCUGGAGAGACGGCAUUGCCAGGCGAGAUGGAAGAGUGUUUGCACUAGAAGCACGGUGGGACUUGGAGUGCUGUGCACAGUCUGGAAAUCUGGAAGAGGUGCAGAGAGGGGUCAUUAGAGCAGGGAAGGUAUCGGAAAGCCCCUUUGAGAGGCAACUAAACAAGCACAGCUUAUUUAGCCUGAUGAAAUGAAGGCUGAGAGGAGGUGUGAUUGCACAGGCAGAUAAACACAAGGGAGGGAGAGACCUAGUUAAGCUAAAGGCCCCUGCUGAUACCAGAACAUGCAGAUACAACCUAGUCAUGAAUAAGUUUCAGAAGGAAAUGGGAUGGAGGUGUCUAAGCGCCAGAGCAGAGGCUAUGGACGAGUGCUGGAGAGUCCACACAACUGGGCUGCUCUUGCACUGGCGUUUGACUGUAAAAUAGGAUUAUAGGAGCCGGUCCCUCGAGAUCAGGCAACUGCGUUUUGUGAUCCGGGAAGUCCUGUCUGUUGCCAAAAGCCCCUUUAAUAUUCUGGCAGGGAAGGAUGCAGAUCUGAGGACAGCAUAUGUCUUGUUGAGUGACUCCAAGAGCGCUUGUUGAGAGCUUUUGGAGUGGUGCUGAUGACAGGAGGUUAAAGAUGAUCCUCGACAGUCUUUUAUCAGUGCUUCCCUCUUGUUUUUGACACUGACGGAUCACUGAGUUCCCUCUUUCAUCAGGUUGGAGUUUCAGGUUCUGCACUAACUAGAUCUCCCAGGUGGACUGGAAACACUGAUUAAGAUGGAUAGAGUGAAAGCAAGUCCAUUAAAUUGUUAAUAAAGAAUAUUACACACAUACCUUAAUCUGCAGCUAGCCUGACACUUUAUAAAAGUACAUUAGGAUAUAAUCCAAUUGAAGCCACAAUAUCGAGAACAUCUUAUCUCAUCACAAAUUGAAAUUAUAUCAUAUUCCUCAUUUCUUAAAUUAAAAAGCUAAAACCUUUUAGUUUGCUCUCAUAUGCUUGUGUAAAACUUAAUCAGUGGUUUUAACAACAUUAUUUUUCAAUAUGGGCCAUUUCUGCUCUCAUUUAUUUACAAGAGAGAACUUCCUGGUAGGAGAAGUGAUUCAAUUUGCAGGAGGAUACAUCAAGCACUUAAGGAUUUUGUAGGGAUUGAUUGAUUAUUUAUCAUGUUAUCUUGCCUGGAGACGUCUGAUAUGGCUGCGCUUUUGCUAUCUCUCAUUCCACCUAAUGCUCUUCCUUUGCGUCUCGCUCCCCUCCAGUGCUAAGGGCACACUUCCCCCGCGUGCGUGUGCCUGCACGAGUGUGUCGAAGGAAAAGGGGGUCAGGAAAGGCAAGGCUGAGGCUGUCUCUGUUGGGACGAAGAUGCUGGACUGGGCAGAUACGAGAGAUUCAUUUCACUGGAAGAUAGCACAGAAGUAAGAGAGGUUAAAGGGUGGUUUGAAAUUCUGCUGGAUUUUAACUGCAGGCUGCUGUGCUGCUCAGCUGUAGAUCUCCAAGUGCAUCAAAUAUGUCCUUCCCCACAGAGGAAGGAAUCGGGGCACAGGGAGGCUGUAUGGUUUGCUGGAAGCCCCACCAGGAGCAGAAAACAGCCCCAAGAGGCCAUCAGCCUGGGUUGGUAGCUGGUCACCUCAAACCACACUUCCCAGGGCAGCUGCGGGCACCUCCGAGUUGCCCAGCGAAGCCGCGGGUGCUGACCAGGAGCCUCCAUGGGACAGCGCUUCCUGCUCCGCCGAGCUGUCCCGGUGAUGCACUGCCAGGGCUCUUUGCAAAACCGCCAUUGUCCCUAUGCUUGCGAUGAAUCUGGUGUCCUGACGAGGCCAGGGUUGCAAUGCGAAGAGGAAGGCACCACCUCUUCAUGCUUGAAGGAAACCACUCCGCUCUCCUAGCAGUAGCCUCGCAGGGUGGGGGAUGCUAACUGCCUCCCAUUGCCUCGCUGUGGCAGGAGGGUUCGUUAGCCAUGGCAUGUUCUCCACAGAGGUGCCAAGCCCGAGGCCAAGGAGGAGACACGCAAGGUCUCCAUUUGAAGGGGGAUGAUGCCCAGGAGCCCUGCAAGAGGGCUGCGGCUCCAGCUUCGUCUUGAACUUUGGUGCUCUAUGGCCUUGGGGCACGAGUGGGUGAAGGAGGGAUGGUGCCCACGGGCACUCUUGGCCCAGCGUCCCUGGUAGGGCUUUGGGGCAUUGGAUAUAGCAAGAAAGAAAACUUUUUUUAUUUUAAGCAAGAAAACAAUGACAGCAGAAGCUCCAACCAAACCCUCAACUGUUUGGACUGUGGUUGUCUCUCUGGCAGGGGGAGGCACUGGGAACAAGGACUUUUGAGGUUUAUUCUUUUCACUGCUGCAGGUUUUGGCAAAUUGCUCUCCCUGCCAUAGUUUUCUCUGAGCAGUUUGAGAUCAGCUGGGUUUAUUCUUUUAUGAGCAUUGGAGUGCAGGAAUUGCUCACUUGUGGUGAAAAUAAAUACAGAAAUCCUGAAGCAUGACUCCAAAGAGAGACAAGCCUGCAAAAAAGCACCAUGCUGGAAAGAGAGUACGUUUGGUUUGUCUUAUUUUUCUUUUGCU
Molecule: RNA transcript, 11569 nt
Organism: Grus americana (Whooping crane)
Lineage: Eukaryota; Metazoa; Chordata; Aves; Gruiformes; Gruidae
Gene: MICALL2
Gene name: MICAL like 2
Exons: 19
Source: RefSeq, a predicted model, not a curated record